RNAcentral lists this transfer RNA (81 nucleotides) under marine eukaryotic metagenome. It matches the Rfam family "tRNA". Rfam says of the family: Transfer RNA (tRNA) molecules are approximately 80 nucleotides in length. Their secondary structure includes four short double-helical elements and three loops (D, anti-codon, and T loops). Further hydrogen bonds mediate the characteristic L-shaped molecular structure. tRNAs have two regions of fundamental functional importance: the anti-codon, which is responsible for specific mRNA codon recognition, and the 3' end, to which the tRNAs corresponding amino acid is attached (by aminoacyl-tRNA synthetases). tRNAs cope with the degeneracy of the genetic code in two manners: having more than one tRNA (with a specific anti-codon) for a particular amino acid; and 'wobble' base-pairing, i.e. permitting non-standard base-pairing at the 3rd anti-codon position. The record is from RNAcentral.
AGGAGUGGCAGAGUGGUCGAAUGCACCGGUCUUGAAAACCGGCGUACCGAGAGGUACCGGGGGUUCGAAUCCCUCCUCCUC